Coffea eugenioides is the source of this 133-nucleotide small nucleolar RNA. RefSeq annotates it as small nucleolar RNA snoR74. Lineage: Eukaryota; Viridiplantae; Streptophyta; Magnoliopsida; Gentianales; Rubiaceae. The transcript has a single exon. The record is from RefSeq and is a predicted model, not a curated record.
GAAAAAGCCGGGGCCUGUUGCCAUUUACUGUGAAUGGGUCUCUCGUAAACUUCAGGGAAAUAAAAGUGCAUUUUCAUUAUUGCAACCUAAUUCAUAUGGAUUUCUCUAUUGGUUUCUGUAGUUAAGUGCAUUU